CCUACGGGAGGCAGCAGUGGGGAAUAUUGCGCAAUGGGCGAAAGCCUGACGCAGCGACGCAGCGUGAGGGAUGAAGGCCUUCGGGUUGUAAACCUCUUUCAGCGGGGACGAAGCGAAAGUGACGGUACCCGCAGAAGAAGCACCGGCUAACUACGUGCCAGCAGCCGCGGUAAUACGUAGGGUGCAAGCAUUGUCCGGAUUUAUUGGGCGUAAAGAGCUCGUAGGCGGCUUGUCACGUCGGGUGUGAAAACUUGGGACUCAACCCCAAGCCUGCACUCGAUACGGGCUAGCUAGAGUGUUGCAGGGGAGACUGGAAUUCCUGGUGUAGCGGUGAAAUGCGCAGAUAUCAGGAGGAACACCGGUGGCGAAGGCGGGUCUCUGGGCAACUACUGACGCUGAGGAGCGAAAGCGUGGGGAGCGAACAGGAUUAGAUACCCUGGUAGUCCACGCCGUAAACGGUGGGCGCUAGGUGUGGGGAACCUUCCACGUUCUCUGUGCCGCNGCUACGACAUAGCGCCCGCCGUCGGGAGGUACGGCCGGCCGACGGACGUAAACGUUAAACGGUAAAGUUAGUACGGCGUUGUAGACGUUGCCGACGGCGACGACGAGGGAGGAGG
Molecule: ribosomal RNA, 617 nt
Filed under: uncultured bacterium
Lineage: Bacteria
Description: bacterial SSU rRNA
Rfam family: Bacterial small subunit ribosomal RNA (bases 1-522)
Source: RNAcentral